GAUGAACGCUAGCUACAGGCUUAACACAUGCAAGUCGAGGGGCAGCAUGGUCUUAGCUUGCUAAGGCCGAUGGCGACCGGCGCACGGGUGAGUAACACGUAUCCAACCUGCCGUCUACUCUUGGACAGCCUUCUGAAAGGAAGAUUAAUACAAGAUGGCAUCAUGAGUCCGCAUGUUCACAUGAUUAAAGGUAUUCCGGUAGACGAUGGGGAUGCGUUCCAUUAGAUAGUAGGCGGGGUAACGGCCCACCUAGUCUUCGAUGGAUAGGGGUUCUGAGAGGAAGGUCCCCCACAUUGGAACUGAGACACGGUCCAAACUCCUACGGGAGGCAGCAGUGAGGAAUAUUGGUCAAUGGGCGAGAGCUUGAACCAGCCAAGUAGCGUGAAGGAUGACUGCCCUAUGGGUUGUAAACUUCUUUUAUAAAGGAAUAAAGUCGGGUAUGGAUACCCGUUUGCAUGUACUUUAUGAAUAAGGAUCGGCUAACUCCGUGCCAGCAGCCGCGGUAAUACGGAGGAUCCGAGCGUUAUCCGGAUUUAUUGGGUUUAAAGGGAGCGUAGAUGGAUGUUUAAGUCAGUUGUGAAAGUUUGCGGCUCAACCGUAAAAUUGCAGUUGAUACUGGAUAUCUUGAGUGCAGUUGAGGCAGGCGGAAUUCGUGGUGUAGCGGUGAAAUGCUUAGAUAUCACGAAGAACUCCGAUUGCGAAGGCAGCCUGCUAAGCUGCAACUGACAUUGAGGCUCGAAAGUGUGGGUAUCAAACAGGAUUAGAUACCCUGGUAGUCCACACGGUAAACGAUGAAUACUCGCUGUUUGCGAUAUACUGCAAGCGGCCAAGCGAAAGCGUUAAGUAUUCCACCUGGGGAGUACGCCGGCAACGGUGAAACUCAAAGGAAUUGACGGGGGCCCGCACAAGCGGAGGAACAUGUGGUUUAAUUCGAUGAUACGCGAGGAACCUUACCCGGGCUUAAAUUGCAGAUGAAUUACGGUGAAAGCCGUAAGCCGCAAGGCAUCUGUGAAGGUGCUGCAUGGUUGUCGUCAGCUCGUGCCGUGAGGUGUCGGCUUAAGUGCCAUAACGAGCGCAACCCUUGUUGUCAGUUACUAACAGGUUCCGCUGAGGACUCUGACAAGACUGCCAUCGUAAGAUGUGAGGAAGGUGGGGAUGACGUCAAAUCAGCACGGCCCUUACGUCCGGGGCUACACACGUGUUACAAUGGGGGGUACAGAGGGCCGCUACCACGCGAGUGGAUGCCAAUCCCCAAAACCUCUCUCAGUUCGGACUGGAGUCUGCAACCCGACUCCACGAAGCUGGAUUCGCUAGUAAUCGCGCAUCAGCCACGGCGCGGUGAAUACGUUCCCGGGCCUUGUACACACCGCCCGUCAAGCCAUGGGAGCCGGGGGUACCUGAAGUGCGUAACCGCGAGGAGCGCCCUAGGGUAAAAC
Molecule: ribosomal RNA, 1436 nt
Filed under: uncultured bacterium
Lineage: Bacteria
Description: 16S ribosomal RNA
Rfam family: Bacterial small subunit ribosomal RNA
Source: RNAcentral